This 8240-nucleotide long non-coding RNA is filed under the name Salmo salar (Atlantic salmon). RNAcentral's name for it is "lncRNA (ENSSSAG00000082544.1)". The record is from RNAcentral. Lineage: Eukaryota; Metazoa; Chordata; Actinopteri; Salmoniformes; Salmonidae.
UGGUGUUCGAGGCUGCUCAUCAUUACGCACACCUGUCACCAUUGUCACGUGCAGCAGCGCUCCUUCGGACUCACCUGGACUCCAUCACAUCAUUGAUUGCCUCCCCUAUAUCUGUCACUUCCUCAGUUUCAUCCCUGUGACUGCACUGAUGUUGUAUUGUGUCUCUUGUCCAGACGCUGUUCUUGUUUAGUUUCAUGUCUAUUUUUAAAUCCUCACCCUGUACUUGCUUCCCGUCUCCCAGCGACUGUAGUUACGGAACCGUUACACUGUGAUGAACCGUGUGUGUGUGUGUGUGUGUGUGUGUGUGUGUGUGUGUGUGUGUGUGUGUGUGUGUGUGUGUGUGUGUGUGUGUGUGUGUGUGUGUGUGUGUGUGUGUGUGUGUGUGUGUGUGUGUGUGUGUGUGUGCGCGCGCGCGCGAAGGCAUGCAAAAAAAUAUUCAGAACCAGACAAUAUCACCCAAACUUUCACCACAAUGAUUCUCCAUAGAUGAAAAACCCUUCAAUCUCUGUGAUCCUGUCCCACAAUGGAGACGUUUAUGAUCUAUUCAUUUCGUUUGAAAUUGUUUGCUGUUGUGGUUGUCAGGCUAUAGUAUUUUAAAGACGUAAUUGAGAAAAGUGCUUGGAACUAACAAAAUCGCUACUGUUAAAAGUGAUGAAUGUUCUAUAUGCCCAAGGAGGCCUGGUUUCAUUCUGAGGGGAUUUGGAGGAUCAGAAUACACACACGCACGCACACACACACACACACACACACACACACACACACACACACACACACACACACACACACACACACACACACACACACACACACACACACACACACACACACACACACACACCUCUUAUCUCCCUGUAGGCCCUGUGUAUGGAGGUUUCUCAGAGGGAUGUCAUUGUCAGGCUGUCUGUAGAGCCAUAGGAGAGAGACCAAUUUACCUCCACCUUCUCCAUCCCCCCUUUCUCUCUCUCUCUCCUUCACAUAUACACAUACACAUACACACACACACACACACACACAGUAUUGUACAGCUAACCUUGUGGGGGGACACAUUUCAGUCCCAUUCUUAUUUACCCAUUCCCUAAACCUAACCCUAACCGGUACUCUAACCCUAACCCUAAUAUUAAACCCUACCCUAACCCUAAAAUGUAACCUUAACACUAUACUUAACCAUAGCUCCUAACCCUUAAUGUAAUUCUAACUCAAACACUAAUUCUAACCUUAACCCUAAACCACCUAGAAAUAGUAUUUGACCUCAUGGGGACUUAUAAAAUGUCCCUUCUAGUCCCCACAAGAAUAAUUAAACACGUCCAUACACCCACACACACACACAAAUACACUAUUAUCUUCCCUGCUGACUUGUCCCUGCAGUGUUUACCUCUCCUCUCCCAUCCCUCUCUCACUUCCUCUCUCUCUCUCUCCCCUCCUUCUCCUCUCCCCUCCCUACCUUGCUCCCUCUCUCUCUCCCCUUAGUCUCUCUCUUUCCCCCCAUCCAUCUCUAUCUUUCAGUUUCUGUAGCCUAAUUGGCCAGACUAUUCCCCCUGUCAUCCCUAGUGUAGUGUUGGAAGACACAGUCAGCCCAGCAAAACAUGAACAUGACCCCCACCCUGACACACAGAAAAAACUCUCUCUCUCUCUCUCUCUCUCUCUCUCUCUCUCUCUCUCUCUCUCUCUCUCAUGUACAUGCUAUCUAUGAAAAGUAAACUUUGUCACAUUUGCAGUGUGGACAGUAGAUCAGUGUUGUCAUGUUUUAGACUAGGUUUCUGUAUAAGCACUUUGUGACAUCUGAUGAUAUAAAGCUGAAAAUUAAUCUGAAGGAAGUUGGCAUUUGUCUAUUUCAAUUUUCCAUUAUUUUAGUCUAUUAUGGGGCCAUUAUUUUCCUAUUUUCUGCCAGGAGAUUCUUAGUGAUUGUUCCAUAUUUACUGGAGUGUGUCCAGUGGCCGUAUUUAACCAGAUGAACAGCAGAUCAAUACAGUGUACUCUGGCCCUGCUCGGAAACGGGAACCCUGAUUUGCAUUACCCAAGCUUUAACUACUGGCUUGAUAUGUUUAAAAUACAACACAAACAGGUAACAUUUAACAGUCUCAUCUGGUGGUGUGUGUCUGCUGUUAAAAACCAACAGGCUUUCACAGCGACUGUGUGUGUGUCUGUGUGGGUGUUCUCCAGGGCUGUGGCCUAAAGACUAACACUCCUAAACCAUUGCAUGUCUCCUCAGCAGCCCUUAGGUUGGAGAUGGCAAACUGUCUUUACUAAUUCAUGAUCUGAUGCAUUUAAUUCACUCCUCACUCCCCAGUCUUUCCUAAUUUAUUAAGCGUUAUACAAUACCCCGAGGAGCACAGGUACCUAGAUCAACUUUGACAUUUGCUUUCAAACAUGGCUUCUGUCAAACAAUGAUACGUUAAGAUAUGUUUUCUCAGAGAAUUAACGACCGUAAAAAUACACAAUGAAUUCUUAAGCAAUAAUGCAUGACAGCAAUAAUGGAUUAGCAUGAAUAACACAGGACGAUUAGGCUCAACGGGUGGCAUGAUGAAGUUGAAGCUAUGAACCUGUCUCUGGUCUGUUCGCAGGGACCGUGAAGUAAAAAGUCUGAUUGAAUUAAUUAAUCAAAUAAUAAUCAAGUCCUUGAGUAAUAAAUUCAAGCGUGCUGGGCGAAAAACACUGUCCUGGUGAGUAUCCAGGACCGUAGGAGAAGAUCACAACACACGCUUUUUAUUUAAUUUAACUAGGCAGGUCAGUUAAGAACUAAUUCUUAUUUACAAUGACAGCCUACCCCGGGCAAACGGGGACCAAUUGUGCACCGCCCUAUGGGACUCCCAAUCACGACCGGAUGUGAUACAGCCUGGAUUCGAAAUAGAGACUGUAGUGACGCCUCUUGCACUGAGAUAGAGUGCCGUAGACCGCUGCGCCACUCGGGAGCACGCACACAGACACAGACAGACAGACAGACACUCAAGUCCCCAUCAGCCCUCAGGUCUUCAUUAGUUCAUUAUUAUCAUUAGUCAGAUUAAAAGUGGAAUAUCUCCCCUAUCUCUCCCCUCUCCUCCAAGCCUAGAUGAGAUUCAUUAACUGUAAUGAAAGGUAGUUCCAUCUGGUGUAACAAACUAGCUUCUUUAGAUCGUGAGUGUGGGGAUAAGUGUGGGUGUGUGUGUUAUUCUCCUUUAUCAGAAGGUCUUAGAGGUUUGUACCUGAGCCUAAACCACAAAUCAGGCUAGAGGAGUUAGAGAGGUCACUUUGGUCAAGAAGUUAGAGAGUUCACUUCGGUCAAGGAGUUAGAGAGGUCACCUUGGUCAAGAAGUUAGAGAGGUCACUUCGGUCAAGGAGUUAGAGGUCACUUUGGGCAAAAAGUUAGAGAGAUCACUUUGGUCAAGGAGUUAGAGAGGAACUUUGGUCAAGGAUUUAGCGAGGUAACUUCUCAAACUCCUCUGUGUUCAACUCAGGUUAACCAGCACCUCCAAAGUGGCUCACCUUCAUUGCCACCUUUACGGCAAUGAAUACUUCAGAACUAUGCCGCUCCGGGGCAGGCUAACUUAGGGCUAACUCCAUUUAUCCUGAAUGAAGUGUCUGAGCCACGAGUUGAGGACCAAUGAAUUUAGAUUCCAUUCCAAUUGCAAAGAUGGCAUCCUCCUCCCCUUCAUUUGAGGAAGACAACUGAUGAAAUAUUUUACAUAAAGCUGUCCCAACAGCAGUCUCAAAAGCAGCCCCAACAUCUUACCACUGCAACACCUGGCUAUCAGUGGAGCUUUGUCUGGCAGCGAAACAGUUCAUUCAGACUCAUUUACUGCCUUUUAGCUGAUAUGGCUGACUUGCUUAAACAAAUGUGGUUUCUACUAUGGCAUAAGGGGACGACAAGCAUAUAAGAGGCAAUCCGUAAUUUUGAUUAAGACAUGAGCGAGCUAAGACGGACGUAGUCAAUAUAAGUAUUAGUUCAGCGACAGAAUUCUGUAGAUAAGAAAUGUACAGCGACAGAAUUCAGAACAUUGACCGUUCUUACAGUGUUCUCACUUGUACACCAAGUCAGAACCGUAGGAUAAAUAAAGGGGGCAUAUUAGCAGACAAUGAAAGCUCUUACAAUAUUUGAUGAUUACAUUUCUCUAAAACAGGUCAUAUGCUACAUGUGCACCACCAAGUCAGAACAGUAGGCUGAAUUAAGAGGGGAAAAUAUAUCAAAUUAUUAGGAUGAGGCACAUGGGCUACUAACAGCUUACUACACACUAUACACUUAGUAUUACUUUCUUAGCUACAGUAUACGUACCUCCCUGGCAUAUUACAUAAUUUAUGCAGCAGCAUACAAUACAUUUUUGGACUCAUCUUGUUGUGCUGUGGUCACUUGAACAGAAAGGUGGUGCGGCUGUCCUUCAUGGGCAAAUGUCGUUGUCAAAUGUGUCAUCAAAGUCUGGCAUUCUCUGGAUUUACAGUGCUAUGAAGAAAACUGGGAACUCUGGAAAAAAAAGAUUGAAUCAUGAUGACGUCAGUGAUCUUCAGGUCGUAGCUCUAGGAAGAGGUCCGAGGUCCGAUUUACAAUUCCAAAUUGGAUGACAGUUCAAAACAUAUUUUCCCAGUCAAAGCGUGUUUUUCCAGAGUUCCCAGUUGUCUUGAACUCACUGAAGUCAGCUUUCCCUGUUCUGAGUUAACAGCUAUUUUUGAGCACGGCAGAAAUCAUGCUGGAAUGACAGCAUUGCCAAUGCUGAAUGUUUCUCAUUUUAAGUUUGGAAAAGAGACACUUAAACCCAGAUUUGGGACCACACAGCCACUCCGCUGAAUAGCAGGCUAGUGACUGCUUUGCAAUGCUUGCAGUUAUCCACUGAUUCCUUCCAAACCACUUAAUGUUGAAUUUGCGAUUUCCAACUUGUUAUGUAAUGUUUAUGUCCAAUGGCCGAUGAGCACCGAUACGUUUUAUCUAUAAUUUCUCUUAAUUAUUUUAUGACAAGGAUUAAAAAGGAUUUGCCCGUAGAUUGUCGACUUGAUUCAUGAUGAUGACUGCUAGCUUAUAUUUUGAAAGUACUGUAUGAUGUUGACAUGAUCUGUCCAAUCAAAGCUACUGUUGAUAUAACGUGAUUUGACAUCAUUUUAUCUGUGGCCAAGGACCUUGAGCCUUCUUGGAUGGAUACUUCUAAUGUAACUCUAUGGAAGCACACAAGGGGCUAGAAUUUUCAAGCUCCACCUUUAGAUUUGCAGGUGACUCUGUGUCCCCAUGCGUGACAGAACACUGAGCCAAUCACGGCACAACUGGAGAACAUUACCAACCCCUACAAGAGAGAAAGAGAGAGAGAACGAGGGAGAGAGAGAGAGAGAGAGCGAGAGAGAGACAGAGAGAGAGCGAGAGGGAGAGAGAGAGAAUGUCACCCCAGCUGUGGGCCGCAGGCCUACAACCCACCGCUUCAUAUACAUUCUGGAUCCCGGCUCACCCUCCACACACACAUGCACACACACAAAUGUGCCAACCUACCCUGGAGGGCCCCUAAGAUGUCCGCAGCUGUGCAUAAAUGCCAGUGAGCUUACCCACCCUCCCCCAUCACACACACUGGUGAGAACACCCAACGCGCCAGGCUGGGCUAAGCCGAUUAGAUUUUGGGUGUGUCUGUGUGUGCAUGCGUCCAUGCCUGCAUUUUCGAGAGUGAAUGCAUGAGGGUGUGCAGGCAACGGGGGGCAACGGGAGGUGGUGGGGUGGGGGGGUUAGGCUCUCUGUAGGAAUCAUGUUUUGUUAUCCUUUCUCCCCUACUCCAUUUCCCCCCUUCUCUCGUUUUAUCGCUUGUGUUUUAUUCAUAUCCUCCUGAGAUUUAGUUUAGUCACUGUGUGCUCAGCCUCCCGUUGAUCAACUUCAGCUGGAAAUUAUUUCACAUUCAAAGGAUUACAUUUCUUAGAAAUUGAAUGCAGAAAAAACUGUUUGCGUCCCUAUGGGCCUAGGUCAAAAGUAGUGCACUACACAGGGAAUAGGAUGCCAUUUGGGACGCACACCCUGAAUCCUCAAAAUGUUGCCCUAUUAAUAUCCCAUGUGGUUAAACUUGAAGUGAUUCCACUCAGAGCAAAUUGGAUAUGAAUCUCCAGUAUAAUGAAUAAAAAUCACAUAACCAUCCACAUGUAAUCAAAUAUAUAAAUAUAAUAAUAUAUGCCAUUUAGCAGAUGCUUUUAUCAUACGUUUUAAGUAAGUGGAAUGGCGGGUAUUCAUGGGUGCCAAGUGAAGCCAGGCUUCCUAAAAAAAACAUAAUUUUCCUUCAAUUUGCAAGAGGCUGAAUGUAUCUCACAGGAAAAGGCUUCCGAGCGAGCGAAACAGCGCCCCUCUGUCUCUCUACGUGUAGGCUAUCUAUCUGAUGCUGUCUGGUCCAAACAAGUAGCAUUGAAGGCAAGGGAAGCCAGCAAGAUUUGGCCUCCCUUGAUAAAAAAAGUAUCCAAAAUUAGCCAAUCAGCAUUGAGCUAAACUGUGAAUGGUCCUGGCACACCAACAAAAAGUGUCAAAGGAAGCCAGCUUGGAUUUUGGCUUCACUCCUAUCACAACGCAUCAAAAGAAAUACGUAUUUGACAGAAACAUUGGAAUUGUUGUAUCUCGUUGUGUUGUUUUCCUCCGGUGGCUAGCUAGCUAGCUAAAACUAGACCUUUCUUAGAUUAGCCAUGGAUGGAGAUGGGGAUUUGGACUUAAUUCUCCGAACUGGCCAAUGAUUAUAAAGGCGAUUCUGAUCCAACCAUUAAUUCAUACAUUGUUGUGUCCCUGGCCUGAGAGGAUGGAAGUUUAAUAGGUAUCUAGAUGUAGAAGGCUAAUGUUAACUAGCUAGCGUUGCCCAUGAAUUGAAGUUAGGCUAGUGAGUUAGCAUUUUAGCCAGGUAGCCUUGGACAACAAAAAAUAAAAGGGUGUACUGUAUGUAUGAGUGAUAGAGCGUUUCAUCAACAUGAAAGAGAGGAGGAUGGCAAGUUGGGUGAGUCAACAUGUUUUUCUACUUUCAUGAAUGUACAUGCACACACAGAACCAUGGACAGCCACAUCAUAUGAAGCUUACGUUGAUUGGACUAAAUAGUUUUUGGUGUCUUUUUGUUGUCACUGUAUUAGACGGAGGUGAUUUGAUGAUGUUGAAAUGUUGAAGUGUAAAUGGUGCUGGAAUAGCGGAAGCAGCUCCUCUUUUCUCUGUGACUAGCUGUAGCUCUCUGUGACUAGCUGUAGCUCUCUGUGACUAGCUGUAGCUCUCUGUGACUAGCUGUAGCUCUCUGUGACUAGCUGAAGCUCUCUGUGACUAGCUGUAGCUCUCUGUGACUAGCUGUAGCUCUCUGUGACUAGCUGUAGCUCUCUGUGACUAGCUGUAGCUCUCUGUGACUAGCUGCAGCUCUCUGUGACUAGCUGUAGCUCUCUGUGGUUCUAAAUCAAUAGUUGUUAAGUGGUCUGAAAAUGUCAGAAACAUUAACUUGCUUGACAAUGCUGUAGGUCUUGUAACUGUCUGUUACUGUACAUGCAAUAUGCUUUGUGGACUUCACUGCACAGAGGUUGGUAUCUGGUUUUGUGAAAAAACAGUGGUUGAAUUUAUUCUGCCACUGUGUCUUUUUAUUGUCUCAAUAUUUAAGCCUAAAUAUCACGGUUGCAAGGCAUAUGAAUUACCAGGCUAUAGAACAGACAACGCAUAUAUUGUAAUUUUGUUUUUUUUUGGGUUGGGGGGGUGCUUGGCUUCCCCAUUGAUUUUACCCACGCACCGCUACUGCGUAGGGGUAGCCCUGGGAAUAGAACCCACAAUCCGAACGACCCAAUCUUCAUGCUCUUCCAACUGAGCCAUACAGGUGUCACGUCCUGACCAGUAAAAGUUGUUUGUUAUUGUAGUUUGGUCAGGGCGUGGCAGGGGGUGUUUGUUUAGAGUGUUUCGGGGUUUGUUGGGCUAUGUUCUUUGUUAGUCUAUUUCUAUGUUAGUUCUAGUAUGUCUAUUUCUAUGUGGUGUUUAUUGGGUUGACCUUCAAUUGGAAGCAGCUGCUCCACGUUGCUUCUAAUUGAAGGUCCUAUUUAAGAGGGGUGUUUUUUCUAUGGGAUUUGUGGGUAGUUGUUUCCUGUUUUGUGUUCGUGCACCUGACGGGACUGUUUAGUGUCGUUUGUUGUUUUUUGUAUACGUGUUUCUUUUGUUUUCCUUCUUUAAUAAAAUAAGAAGAUGAGUUUACACGUUCCCGCUGCGUUUUGGUCCAAUCCCUACGACACCCGUGACAACAGGACACCAUACAUGAGCCACCUCUGGUUAAUACCCCGUACAUGAGCCACCUCUGGUUAAUACCCCGUACAUGAGC